AGACAGGAAUAAUAAUUAGCUUUGGUAAUAAUUACCAAUAGUAGUAAUAGUAACCAAUAGUAGUAACAAUAAUCAAUAACCAGUAACAGUAACUAAUAACUAGCAAUAAUAAUCAAUAGUAGUAACAACAAACAAUAACCAGUAAUAGUAACCAAUAGUAAUAACAGUAACUAAUAACUAGUAACACUAACCAAUAACUAAUAACAAUAACUAGUAACACUAAUCAAUAAUCAAUAACCAAUAACUAGUAACAAUAACUAGUAACACUAAUCAAUAAUCAAUAACCAAUAAUAAUAAUCAAUAGUAGUAAUAGUAAC
RNAcentral lists this long non-coding RNA (317 nucleotides) under Physcomitrium patens. Its description in RNAcentral is "long non-coding RNA (PPAT_LNC007711)". Lineage: Eukaryota; Viridiplantae; Streptophyta; Bryopsida; Funariales; Funariaceae. The record is from RNAcentral.